Molecule: long non-coding RNA, 3781 nt
Organism: Stegodyphus dumicola
Lineage: Eukaryota; Metazoa; Arthropoda; Arachnida; Araneae; Eresidae
Source: RefSeq, a predicted model, not a curated record
UAAUUAUUUGCAAAGCUGUAUUUCACAACCUGUGGUUUACAUGUAAAUAACUUUUAUAUGUUAGCAAACCAUCCUAAAAACUUCAGAAUAUAAUUUAACUCCUCGAGAGUUUAACAAUUAUUUUUUUAAUUAAAAAGCAUAAAAGAAAACAUCAAUAUAUUCCUUCUAAUAAUUUUUCUAUGGAGCAUUGAUAAAACUAAUUUUGUUAGAAAAUAUUCCUGGUGGCUAUUGCCAGAUAUUAAUUAACAACUUAUUAUUUAUUCAUUAAAAGCUGAAAAUUAAGUACAAGAAUAUUCAAGAAACAAUCAGCAUUAAAUGCAACUGGCUGUUGACAUUGACAUUGACACAUCAGUGUUCAGUUGACAUCAGCACUGAUGUCAGCAGACAGUUGACAUUGACACAUUUAGUGAUCAGUUGACACCAGCACUGAUGUCACUGAUGAUUUUCUGCACAGGAAAUAUUGUAAUUAUGUAUGCUCUAAGGAAUGAACUGGCUCACCAGGCAAAGAUCACAGAGGAAGAGUGUGUGGAAAAACUUUUAAAAACUGCAAUAUUCUUUGAUAAAUUUUAAAUGUUUGAAAUAAUUUUAAUAUUUAUUACUACAGGUUAUUCUUGUCAUCCUUAUUUUUGAUACAACAACCUUUUUGGUUGUUUAUCUUUUUAACCUUAUUUUGUUAUUUUUAUUUUCAACCUUAUAAACAGAUUUAAUAUUAGUGUAUGUAUUACUUUUGUUGAGUGCUCCAACUUACAAUGUAACUUACAAAACUUACAAUCCAACUUACAAAACGGAUAUAUUAUCUUAGGAGUAAAGAAUCUUUGGCCUCUAAUUUCGAAAAUUUUGGCAUGCUAUUUAUCAAAAUUUUGAUGAAAAAUAUAAUGCGGUCUCGUUCAAUUGAAAGAACUUUAUUGUGAGGUGACGCUUACUGCCAUAAAAAUCUACAUGUAAGGAAAAGCUACAAAUGAGUGGAGGUUCUAGUACCCUUUUGGGCCACCUCUAGUCUGAAUACAUGAUGCAAUAUGGGUGGGCAUUGUGGCAUAGAUGUCCUGCAUCAUCUCAUUUCACAGUUGGUGUAAGUGUGCCUGUAAUUUCACCAGACUCCUAGACUCCUAGGCUGUCUAACUCCUAGGCUGCCAUCCUGUGUGAUCCCUGACAUGGUCAAUUGGUAACAAAUUGGAGGAUAAAGGAAGCCAGGAAAUGUGGCAGAGGCAUUUCAGGGAUACCCUUGAAAUAUGUCCCAGAAUUAUGUUGUUGAAAAAUGCCUCCUAAGGAAAGGUGCCACAGAUUUGCCUUUGGACUGUUAUGGUGCCAUGGUUCAAGGUGACCUGGUGUUAAAUGCAGUGGUAUCCCAUAACAUGAAAUGAACUAUGAGAGUAGUGUGCCAUAAUAUAGCAGGAGCAGGAUUAAGGCAUUUACUGUGUAUGUAUGUGGUUGUCAAAUAUUUAUACAAUUGUAACCAUUACCAAAAAUGAAUUUUAGUUUUGCGCUGAAAUCAGCCUGCUUCCAUUCAGUUGCAAUCCAAUUACACUGAGCACAACACUAAUCCAUAUGGAGCUGACAAUGGAUGGAUGUCAUUGACUGUUCAAAUAAUGGGUGCCACAAUCCCAAAUGCACUUCAACUUGAUGCUUCUGCAAUAGUAUGUACAGAGACUCAUAAUGAGAGGCAAGAGAGGGCAAGGAUUUCAAAGGCUCGGCUAUUGUUUUCCGAAGAUAUCCUUAGCCUGGCUGCCAUGCAUAUAAUCUCUAUCGUCCAUUGGUUCAAACUUCUCCUGCUAGCAAAGUACAAACAGUCUGAGUGGCAGGAUACUCUCUGAGCUGACCACCUAGAUUCUAUCAUCCCAAUGGUUCUGUAUCUUUCAAACUCUAACAGCUGAUCAUUUUAUCUUCGAUGUUAAUGCAAAAACAUCCCUAGUAAAAAGUCAUCCCUCUGCAAUGGACUGACUACAGCAAAUGCUUCUGUGUACCUUUUUUAUGUGCAAGAGAGAAAAUGGUGACAUCAUGCAAUGAACAAUCACAAUUUAUUUACGCAUCUGCAUGACACAUACCUUGAUUUUACGUUUUGUUAUGAUCCCACAAGUACCUCUUAAUGUACAAAUUUUUAUGACAAUAACAUAUAAAAAAAGAACCAACCUAUCAUACAAUGGCCUAAUUCAGCUCUGAAAUUCAAAGCUCUAUAACAGGUGAUUAAAAAACAAUGAAAGAAAGUAAGAAAAUGUGGCUUCAUUUACUGUAUCAAGUAAUGUUUUUCAUGUGGAUAAUUUUUUAUUUUUCAGAGCACAAAAACAUUUAUUGUUUAAUAAUUAAUGACUAAAAUUUGUACCAAAUUAUUAACAUAGCAAAAGUUAUUUUCAUUCAAGUCAGAAAAUCCGGUGCUAUCAAAAUCUUUAAACUAAAAUAUUUUAUGUUUUUCUAUAGCUAUAUUGUUGGUAUCAAUUUGUAGAUUGCUGGGUCCCACCAGCGGCAAAGUGGUAAAGUCGCUGAACACUUGUAGUUUUGUCUGACGUUCGAAUCCCACGAACGAGCUGGCUGCAUGGAAUGUUUUCAUGGAUUUUCCCAUGUGUAACAUGUACACGAGCUAGUUUCCCUUAAAAGUCCUCCACGAAGGCAUCUCUUUCCUUAAGCAAAUAGUCCUUGAGGCUUUGCUAUAAUCACAUAAACCAAACUUGUAGAUUGCUGAGAUCAGUAUUUACUGAAUACCUGCAAUUUAGCCAGAUGGUAGAUUCAUACGGGUCUUGUCCCGCAUACUCUCCCCUCUUUGCUUGCAGAAGCCUGUUCUUUUGAUAAAACACCUAUUUGCCUUAUGAUCAGUUUAAUUCUUCUAUACCAUAAAAUUUUAAUACCACAUCCAAACCUAGUAAUGCUGCUGUAUAAUCUUUAGCUCUUGAAAAAAUUUUCAUGAAGUGAACUUCCAUACAUUUAGUUUUUAUUGUUUUCAUAUUAAUAUUAAUUUGAUUCUCAUUGACUUCAUUCUUUUCACUAGCUCGUGUUCACAUUCCUUGCCCCCUUGUAUUUAUUUAUCCAUAAUCCGCAUCGUACAUCUGCAGGAAAGCUUCAGUACUGCUUGUAAACAGUUUCUACAUUUUUUUAAUGUUUGAACAGUCUGAUUUCAGACUUCAAUACUCAGCUUACAUUCUUCGACACUUUUAACAUUAAGGUCACUUUCUGCAUCUGAAAUUUUUUUUUUUUUUUUUUUUUUUUUUAAGUUUAAUUUUAUUUAUGAUAAUCUGCAUGUAUUAUUUUUAGAUAUAUUAUUACUUUUAAAUGCAUAUUUGCAGUUUAUAAUACAAUUCAGAUCCCAGUGGCUUCUUUUUCGAUUUGAUGACAUGAGACAAUUUAUAGCUAAUAUCACAAAGUUUUGCUUUUACCCAUUCUAUUCAAUUUUAUUAAAAAUGAAACUUAAUAACAGGAUAAUAUAUAAAAUAGACAAAACAGAUUACACUAUGGUAAUUAAAUAAUUUCUGCAUGACUUAUUUGCUUGAGUUCUAUUUUUUUAGUGUUUAAAAUAUUGUGAAAUUAAAUAAUAAAUUCUUAUGAAAUUAAAUAUUAUUACUGUGAAUUACUGCAGUAUCUUGGUAUAUGUCAUUAAUCUCUUCCAGAUUCUUGGACUUCCAGAUUCUUACUGAAAGUAAACUUUUCAGUAAGAAAUAAAGGGAAAAUGAUUAAUUUGUUCUCAUACAAAUCCUGUUCUUAUUAAUAUAACAUUAUUCAUAAAAGUGUUCAUAAAUCUGAAAAUCAGUUAAAUACAAAUACAGUAAGUGAAAUAAAUACUGUGCAUAAAUGAAAA